CAAAUUGCUUGCUGAACAGAUGGCUAAGCUCGGUCGCGAAAAUGAGGAGAUCAGUGGUGAUGAAGAUAGUGAAGAGGAGGAAGAUACCGGGAUGGGAGAAAUUGAUGUGGAGAACUCAGGAACUGGAAUUAGAGAGUAAAAAGUGUGGCUUGUAUGAACUUGGAUAACACAUUCUUCACAGAUGCAGAUGCAGAUGCAGAUCCUACAGAAGCUACCUCACCUUUUGUUCUUGUCUUUUUGUAGCCAUAUGCUUACUUACUCUGGCAAUUUCUCUUGACGAGCAUUUUAGUUUUUACAUGAAAUCACUCUUGAUAGUUAUGUUGGUGCGGAUAUUUGAUAAUUCCAAUCGCAUUAGUACAUUUUGCAAUGAGAAUGAACAACUGUACAUCUUGUUCUUUCAAUUCUCCCUCAUAAAUGUAUAUUUGGACUAGUCAGUUUUUGGCAUCCCUUCUCUUCCAUAUAGGCGGGACUAGUGUUGAGCAAUGGUUAUGACAGAGCUGGUGAAUGUGUCUGUUGCGUUUUUGAGAAGCUUAGAAAGUCUUCCAAUGCGUUAUAAUCUAUCCGAUGAACACGGUGCUUCGGUCUUACUGUCUCAUCUUGAGACAUUUGUCGAAGGUUCUGCCUCUGAUGCUUUAACUUGCGUAUGUUCAGCUAUUAGUGUAAGAAAUUAUACUCAAGUAGGUGCACAUUGGUACGGUAUGCUGACAUGUUGACUUGGGCACCAAGCUAGGUUGGCUAUAGAAGAUUGUUUGUAUUUAAGUUCAGUUUAGCUUGGCUCAGAUUGGUUUUGGUCGAAGCUUGAUUUGGCAAGGUUUUGAUCCCAGUUCGCUUAGGCCCAAUUUGGCUUGAAUAAAAUUAGGUUAAAGAUCGAUUGAACCUGAUUUAAGUGGAGGUUAUAUGGAAUGACAUGAUUAGUGAGGUUUCAUACCACUAGCCUUUUGUUGUGUGACUGUGAGAGUUAAAUUUAAUGUUACAUAUUGCUAAACUCUAUUUGCAUUUGACUAGAGUUACAAUCUAAACUAGCAAAACUCUUUUUUUUUUUAACAUCAAUCACAUUUGAAUCGAAACUGUUAAGUAAUUUUUAUAGUUUUCCUAUUCAAUUGGUUGUUUAUUUGCAUCAAAUUUCUAAAGGCCUAUGGCAACGCAUGGUAGCAAAAGUUAAGAGAUUCUAUUCACGCUUUGCUUCAGAUGUGUUUUACCAUAAGAAAGCUGGUCUCUAGCUCGACCCAAUUUGGUAUUGCAGCAGGCGUAUUGAGUUUUGUUUAACUCGGGCUCUCACUCAGCUUGAUAUUGUAGUAAGUUCGGUUGCUCGAAGCAUUUUUUAUACACUAUCAUCUGGAAUUGUUUGCGAUUUGGUUACUGUAUAUCAACCUUCUACAGGCUCAUUUUGCUUUCCUCCAGCGACAUAGUUUCGUUUUAUUGUUUGAAUCCUCGUGGCGAUGUUUUUGGCCAGUAUCUAGUAUAGUUAGCAGUGUGUUUUAUUUUUGUUCUAGUUUUCCUAUUUGUUAUCAUCCUUCUCCUUUCCCUUUGUGCUUCUUUGUUGGUUGAACAGUUCAUUCUGCUGCAAAUGAUGUUGAUGCCUACAGAACAGCUGUUCACAUGAUCUGUAUAAGUGUAGGUACUUCUUGCUUCUCAUCAACAAUGCAACGGUGAAGCAUAAAAGGUAGUAUAGACAAUGGUUGUGAUAUUGCCUGCUUCAGGGGUUAGUUGAUAGCUAAACUAUCACCGCUAUAGUAUGGGUUAGCUCACCAUAUGAUAGAAAUGCUGCUUCAGAAGCAGAAAAAAGCAGCAACAUUCUAGAGAAAAGCAAUAAGCAGAAUUUACUGCACCCUUUUUGAGAAGAGAAUUUACUAUACUGCGCUUAUGACAAAAGUGAAGACACUAGCCUUGAUUAAUUAAAACCAUAUUUUUGACAACCUUAGUGACUACUUUUGGCAAGAGUUAUUUUGAAAUUUAUGUCUAAAGUAGUAAAUAUGAAAUUUAUUCAUGCAAUAGUAAAUCUAAAAUUUAUUAAAGAAACAAGUGCAUGUCAUGGUAAACUUGGAGUUUACUAGUAUAAAAGUUCAUAAAUUGGCAUAAACGAUUGUGACAUCCGAAGAUGUGCAUAUUGAGUAUUGGACAUAUAAUGAAGAAUUAGAAGAUUUUUCAAGAAUUAUUCAUGUUAUUUGUUCUCAUGAUAAGUUGGUUGGACCAAUUAAUAUUGGGAUUGAACCCCUUAAAUCUGAAAAGUAUAAAGGUGAAUAUGAGUCCGUUCACCUGUCAUGUGAUCUAUUAACAACAACAACAACAAACCCAGUGUAUUCCCACUUAGUGGGGUCUGGGGGGGUAAGAUGUACGCAGUCCAUACCUCUACCUCUGAUGAAGUAGAAAGGCUGUUUCCGAAAGACCCCCGGCUCAAGUCACGAGAUAUCACACAAACACAUAGGACAGCACAGCAGCAGAUGACAUAACAUAGAUACGGCACCCAUAAGGAAUAUAAAACAAACAGGAAUCCCCCCCCACCACUUAAUUCCCUACACUAGCGACCCGAACUGGCCCUAAUCCUCUGCCGUAAUUCGCAUCUUCCAGCCCUUCCUAUCUAGGGUCAUGUCCUCGGUGAGCUGUAACUGUUCCAUGUCCCGCCUAGUCUUAAGAUGCAUCAAUAUAAGAUAAUCACAUGUAUAUUGUCAACCGGCUGUUGACAUUCAUAGAUUUUCUUGUUUAAUAUAAAUUGAGUUAAGAGCAUAAUUUUCAGAUUGUGUAAUCAAAGCAAUUCAUCUUGAUACUGUUGAUUAGAGAUAAAAUGACUAUGAUAAAUAGAUAAACCAUUGCUAAUGAGAACAAAAACUUCAUGUGUUGAUUUGAAAUAUUAUAUAAAUAAGUACUUGUAUGCAUCAAAUUAAUAAAUUAUGAUUAAUUCCCCUUCAAAGUUGGUUCUGAGUCAGGAAUCACACAUUAUCUAUCUAAUAAUUUUAUGUGCGGUAUUCGAUUAAUGAAUAUAUCAUGAUGCAUAAAGAUGGAUCCUCAAAGAAUAUGUAGGAUGCAUGUUAGUUUUCCUGACAUAAGGAGGAGAUUAUAAACAGCUAUGGAGUAUGUUAGGAAUUAUUAUUAGAUCCCCAUUCAAAAGAUAAUUCAAUUCAAAUACCGAAAGUAUCUCAUAUUAAACUGAAAGUGCUCCUAUUUUGUGUCCCUAAAGGACAAAGUAUGCAUGCGUGAAGCGUGGUAGAUCAAUCGAUUCUAAAUGCAAUAAUCCUUGAAAAGGAUAAGGAGCAAAUGAUCAUAAUAAGAAGGCAAUGUGCUCUUGAAGAACCUACGACAUAACACUUCAUGAAACCUUAUAGGAGGUUCAGGUACCUGAAAAUAAUGAAGUGAUGAAAUCUCAAAAUGUUAUGUCAUACUGUGAACUGAUAUGAAAUGAAAUAUCAUUAAUAUCUUUGAUACAAUAUUGGCGCAAUAUUGUAAAAGAUUAUGAGGACCUGAAUUCUAUGUUUAUUUAAGUAUGUUGACGUAAAGAUAUUUAUCAAGUGACAUGAAAGGAUGCAUCUUGAUAAGCAUAACACUUAUUUGAUUUGUAGCCCAGACACUUGAAGAUGUCACACAUGAAAUAUUGAAUAUUGUCACUUGACAAAAUUUAUAUGAAAACUUUUUUAAGGAUUCAAAAUGUUUGAAGCAUAUAAAAGUUUCUGGAAAACUUAUUUAUAAUCGUUAUAUUGUAUAAGCUUAUAACUUGUAAAUUAUUGGAACUCUUGGAGAAUUUUCAAAAGCAAUAGAUUAUUUGUUGGAAUGAGAAAUAUAUCGAAUUGGAUUGGUAAUAUAUCUUAGUGCAAUUGGUGUGCUAAUAUAUCUUGUAACUACUACAAGGUUCGAUAUAACCUUUCGAUCAAUUUGUUAGUAAGGUAUAGUUCUGCUCCUACUAUGAGACAUUAGAAUAAGAUUAAACAUAUGAGUUUAUUUAAUUUUAAAGACUGUAGUCCCGAUCAUGUUGGUUAUGUUGAUGCUGGGUACUCAUCCGAUCCAUAGGUACCCAUACAAUAAAUCUGAUCUAACCACCACUCUUUAGAACUUAUAGGAGGUACUUUUUUAUCACACAAGAUUUCGAAAAUGAGCUUUCAUUUCAUCCACCCUACCCGAAUCCAAGAGUGACAUCCUCAUUAAACUCACUAUUCUCCUGAAUCAUAGGUCCUAAAUACUUGAAAUUGUUUCUCUUAUUGAUAAAAUGAGUAUCAAGUUUAACAAUCACAUCGGACUCAUGAGAUACCUCACUGAACUUACGCUCCAAAUAUUCCGUCUUGGACCUACUCAACCUAAACCCUUUAGACUCAAGGGUCUGCCUCCAAACCUCCAAUUUAGCAUUAACUCCACUACGUGUCUCAUCAAUUAAUACCACAUCAUACGCAAAAAUCAAAUAGUAAUGCACCUCACUUUAAAUUUGUCGCAUCAAAACAUACAUCACUAAGGCAAAAAGAAACAGACUAAGCGUCGAUCCUUAGUGUAACCCUAUCAAGACGGAAAAGUGCUUAGUCCCCUCCUCCAAUCCUAACUCAAAUCUUGGCGCCGUCGUACAUAUCCUUAAUUGCCUUAAUAUACACCGUACACUUCUCUCCUCCAAACACUUCCAAAGAACCUCUCUCUGGGAACUCUAUCAUAGGUCUUCUCUAAGUCGAUAAACACCAUAUGCAAAUCCUUCUUCCUAACCCUAUACUGCUCUAUCAGUCUCCUAACGAGAUGAAUGGCUUCAGUAGUCGAGCACCCUAGCGUAAAUACAAACUAAUUUUCAGAAAUAGUAACAAUCCUUUGCAACCUCAACUCUACCACCCUCUCCCAACCCUUCAUAGUGUGGCUCAACAACUUUAUACCACUAUAAUUGUUGAAUAUCACCCUUAUUCUUAUACAAUAGAAUCAUCAUAAUUAAACCUUUUAAAUGGACCGGGUUAGCCCGUUCCAGCCAAUUUAGCUCGGCCUAACCGAUGGGCCUGCCCAAUCAGCCCACAGGCUGUAGGGCCGCCAGUCCUAGGCCUGGGCCUGGGCCGGCCAAGUGGAUAAAGACAAAUUGCUACGCUUAUUUUUAAGUUGUAUGAUGAAACAUAUUUCUCUAAUAAGAACUCAGAGACAGAAAACUGUAUUGUGGAAAUUUUUUUAGUAUGAGCUUGAUCAUUUGUCCCAUUUCUAAAGAUUACGGGUGGGUGUGCUCUAAUUUCAAAAAUUUUAGUUUUUAUGGUUAAACGCCCAUUAAUACUUAUAGCAUAAAAUAUUAUUGAUAUUCUUUUGAUUAUUGAAUAACUUUUUGGAAUUUGAUUGCUACCAUUAAUUUAUUAGAGAAAAAAUGGGUAAUAAUUCAUACAUACAUAUAACAUAAUAUAAAGCUCAAUUUAAUUUUUGAGACUUCAUACUUGUGUUUCUUUGACUCUCAAAUACUUUUAUAUGAUUUAGUAGGCAUUUGACUAAGAACUUUUUUUUAACAUUUUUUUCGAAAAUCAUUUCUUUUUGGUGAAAAUAGUAGUUUUUUAUCAUAAAAAUUAUUUUAAUUUACUGAAAAUUAUUUUUGAAAACUUUUUUCAUUCUUAUUUCUCGAGCAAAAUUUUAAAAACAACUCUAAUUUAUGUUUGUGACCAAACACAACAUCAAUUCUAACUUUAAUUCCAACUCCAACUUCAACUCUAAAAAUGAUUAUUUUCAUGGUCAAACGGGCAUUAAUCUUUUAAAAGUCUUCACAAAUAUAACAAGUUACUUUUUUAAUAAAAAUGACGCAACAAAAAUAAAUAACACAAAUGUUGAAUAAAAGUUUUAAAAUAAAGAACAAAUUAAAUUUUAAACGUAGAUUUGGGCCCGGGGUAAAUAGCACCCAUAGAUAGGUAAUAAAAGGAAGGGAUAUAUACCAAAACAGCUAACUUUAGACGCCAAAAAACAAAUUCUUCGUGGAAUCUCUUGUUUCAGCCCCUCCACAGUAAAAAAAACCUUUCUCCAGAAACCCAAAUUUCUUUGAAACCCUAGAAGCAACAGCUACUGGGGCCUACAUUUCCCUUCUGGAGUACAAUAACAUUGAAGGAAUGAUUCUUUUCUCUGAGCUCUCUCGUCGUCGUAUUCGGAGUAUUAGUAGUCUUAUCAAAGUUGGACGCGUCGAACCUGUUAUGGUUCUUAGGGUUUACAAGGAGAAAGGAUAUAUCGAUCUCAGUAAACGUAGGGCUUCUGAAGAAGAUAUUUCGGCUUGUGAGGAGAGGUAUAAUAAGAGUAUGCUUGUUCAUUCUAUCAUGCGUCGUGUUGCUGAAACCAUGGGAAUUGAUCUGGAGGUCAGCUAAUUUCUCAUACCCCAUUUUAUUUUUACUUUGGUGAUAAAGAGAGUUACUUUGAGUUUAACAUAUUAUUUGAAGCUUUUUGUAUAAUUUGUGAUAAAGGAUAGAAAAUGAAUGCAAUGUAUGAGAAGUUAUUGCAAUGUUUGUGAAUGGGAAAGGUGUCAUGUGUAUUUUGAAACUAAGGGAGCAAAGGAUUUGAUUGAAUUUGGAAUUUCAAUUGAACAUGAGGUCUACGGAUAGUAGAAAUUAUUGAAGUGCAAAGCAAAUGGGCUGACUUAGUUAUACAAAAGCAAAUGGGCUGACUUAGUUACUAUGAAAAUAUUGUGACGCAACCUACUGUUAUUCAAAUUCACGACUUGUUCAUAUCAGUUUUAAAGAGUUGAAUCACCGAUGAUCGUAACAAUCUUUUAAGGAAUCAACUAACCUCGAAACAAGUAGAGUAACUUUCAACUAACCAUGAAACAAAAUUAGUCAUAAGAAAUCUAACGCAUAACCACCUACUCAUCAAAAUAGUCUUAAAAAAUCCUAAGUUUCUACAAUACACAAUCCUACCAUUACGCUACUUGCACGAAGAAGAAGAAAUAAUGAGAAAAUUUAAAAGAGAAUGAUGUGUUUACCUUUUUUUGAGCAACGAAUAGGGAUUACGAGCCUGUCACGAUGGAUUUUCACCACCAAAAACUCGACUUGGACUUACCGGCAUUGAAUCGUUCUUGCAGAAACUUAGACGAUUUCAACGAAUUUAGGCGAAUUUCACCAUGAACCUCUUGGUUACGUGAGAUUAGAGGAGCGAUCCUCCAAAAUCCCCAUUUUAUCCCCAAAAAGCCCUCUUCACCUUUAUCCCCCAACCUCUAUUUAUAGGGAAAAGAGAGGGGAGAAUUUUAGGGUUUCAGAUUUAAAAAUGAAAUUUUGAAUUGAUUUUCUUGCAGAAUUUGAGGUCCACAGGCAGAGAGGCACGUACCCGUUGGCUUCUAUUGCCAAAAACGAGUGGACAUGGUCUAAGCAAGGGGAAGUAGACGAAACUCUAGCCAUUCUUGGCUGAAUGUUAAGAAGGUAAAAUGGUAAAAUUGAGGGUGGGGUGGCCAGGUUCUUUGGCGUUGAUAUUGUACUGGUCUGUUGAAAUGGUUUUGCGCAUUUGUUGUUGUACAUCGUUGUUGUCGAAUGCUAUUAUCGUUGAUAUUGCUUGGAAAUUGCGAGUUUGGUACUGAUGGUGUUGUAUACGAGUUUUGCCGUUGUAUUUUCUAUUGGUUUGUUGAGUGCCGUUGUUGAAUGUUGUUGUUACGGUUGUUGAGGCGGUUUUUGGUUGUUGUAUUGUUCUUGAUUGACGUUAAAACGGGUUGAGGGAAAAGGGAAUGAGAAUGGGCCGAGUCGGUGUAAUUGGGCCUGGUGGAACAGGUUGGGGUGACUGGGCAGGCUGGUAAGGGUUUGGUUGAAUUUUGUUAGGUAGAUUAAGAAUUGGGGAUUUAGACCAUUUAUUAAAUAGCCAAAAAUGAGAAUUUAGACAAUUAUACUUAAAUUUUAGCAUAAUUAAAAUUCAAUUGACCCAUUGCAUUGUAAUUAUGGUCAAUUUAGUUUCAAUUAAGUUCUAAUUUAAUAAAUUUACUAAAUUGAAACAAUAUUUGAAACAAAUUAACAACCAAUUCAAUCCCGAACUUCUUGGUUCAAUAAAAUCAAACAAAUAUUUUCAAAUAAAUUAUUUUUAAAUCAAUAUUUUAUCCAUUUGAAUCCAUAUUCCAAAUAACCCUUGAUUAAAAUUUAAUGUUUUCGUAAAAUUAUAUGAUUUCGCAUAUGCAAAUACUAAAUAUACAAUCGCUACUUAAAACGACUAAAACUACCUAGAGAAAUGCUUUGGAAAGCUUUUAUUUGGAUAAUAUAAAUGUUGCAAUCUUAUUUAAAAUUGAAGAAACUCGAAAUUAGACUCAGUCACGGAGGGUAAAAAUUAGGUGUCUACAUACAUGACUUUUUUAGUGUAUGCAAUGGAUAUUUAGUGAAAAAAUAUCACCAUAUCUAUUGAAAAUAAUCUAUUGUUUGAUAUCAAAUAAUUUUUUGUUGCAAUAAAAAAGGUAAUCAGUAUUAGUCAUGGUUAAUAUUGGUAUUGAUUCACUAUAUUAAUUUUGCUUUCUGAUAAUCAGUACAGUCAGGUGCAGGACUUACCAGAAGGGAUAGAGUCAGGAAUGAGACCGUCCGGGAGAAGGUGGGAGUGGCUUCGUUGGAGGAUAAGAUGCGCGAAGAAAGGUUGAGAUAGUUUGGGCAUGUGAUGAGGAGGGGCACAGAUGCCCCAGUUCGGAGGUGCGAGAGAUUAGCGUUAGAUAGCUUUAAGAGAAGGAGAGGUAGGCCGAAGAAGUACUGAAGGGAAGUGAUCAGACAUGAUAUGGAGCAGCUUCUGCUUACUGAGGACAUGACCCUAGAUAGGAAGGUGUGGAGAUCGCGGAUAAAGGUAGAAGGCUAGGUUGUGUGCGUGGAUUUAGUAAGUAGUUAGAAGAGCUCAAGUUGAGUCGGGCUGGUAACCCUAGGAUUAGGUCCAGAGAUAGGAGCCCGAUCAGGCGGGCUUGGGUUUCUUUUUCCUGUUGCACUUAUUUAUUUUAUUGUUUAUUGCUUUGAGUAAUAUUUUUAUUGUGUCUUAUUCCUUUUCUUGUUAUGCCAUCCAUCUUGCUUCUUAUUUAAUUACGCUUUGGUCUACUUUUCUCUAUUUUGAGCUGAGAGUCUAUCGAAAACAACCUCUCUACUUCUCUGGAGGUAGCGGUAUGGAUUGCGUACAUUCUACCCUCCUCAGACCCCACUUGGUAGGAAUACACUGGGUUUGUUGUUGACAAUCUGUAUAGUUCAAUAAUUAUACAAAAAUAUAGUUACAACUUGUAAUAAUCAGUCUAAAAAGUACAUAUAAAAUAUUUUUCACAUGAUAAAACUCAAUCCAUUAACUGGGUAAGGGUAUUAAUUUUAAAGGAUUUUGGGUUGCUGGGAAUUCAUGAUUUCCGUUAAUAAAACUCAUUGAAAGGAUUGUGCAAAAUCGAAUCACUUUGAAGUAGCUUCGUCUUGUUCUUCGAUAAGGAAGAUGGGGUAAAACAUCCCAAAUCAAAGGACGGUCUAGAAAGUAUGAUCGGGUUAUUUUCUUCUAACAAUCUAGAGUUCUUCCUAUUUGGAGUAGAGUCAAAUUUGCACUUUGCAACAUGAUUCAACAAAAAAAAUAAGAAAACAACACUAAGUUGAGUCAAUUUUAUAUCCCAUAUCAUCAAUAUAUGAAGAGAAACCCAAGUUCAUAUGCAAAAGCUAUAAGGUUCAAUAAAAAGGAAGAGAAAAAAAAAAUAAGUUAUGAAAAAGAGAGCUAUUAAUGGUGGAGAAAAUAUUUUGUCAAUAAAGUAACUAUGGAGAAUAGUGUAAACAUUGAAAAAGUAAAAAAUAAAAAUUACUAGAAAGUCAAAAAGUGUACCAAUGUGAAAAAAAAUCUUUACCAAAUUUUACUCUUUAAUUUAAGAACAUAUUUUGCAACUUAAUUGAUAAAGUUAAAAAAAAUAAAAAUAAAGAUAAUUAUUGAAACCAACAAUAAUUUCUACCAUAAUCAUCAAAAUAUUUAAUGAGGAGAGAUAGAUUGUAAAGACUGAAAAUAAGGAGAUAAUAUGACUACUAAUUAUGAAUAAAUAUUUUUUUAUUAAUUAAAAAAUAAUAAUUUUUGAAAAAUUGCUAUAACUUGCAAUUAUUUCUUUAACCCAAUAAUUAUGAAAAAGUGUUGCUUUAAUUUGCAUAAACAAUCUAAUAAAUAUAUACAACAUAGUUUUCACAUAAAAUCAAAAUCAAUAAGUAGUCCAACAACAGGUAUGAACCGACGCAGGCCCAAUUAAACAAACAAAACAAAUCAAAUCUAACUAUAUACAUAUGUACGAUAUCACAACGAAGGGGCUGUUUUUACCAAAAAAAAAAAAAUACGAAGGAGCCGUUUGGUACAAUGUACUAAGAAAAAUAGUCUAUGUAUUAUGUAUGGUAUUAUUUAGUACUAUAUUGGUAGGAUUUUUGGCCUAUGUAUAACUAAUGCAUGUAUUAAUUAUAUAGCCCUAAUUGGUAUUACGAGGAGCAUAACUAAUACAUUCCAUUUGGUGAUAUUAGUAAAACCCUAUUUGGUAUCAUGAGAUGUAUAACUAGUACCUUACAUUUGGUGGUACUGGUUUAGUUUACGUGCUUUGCACGUGUGUCUCGCGUCAAGCAAUAAAAUUAUAUAUAUAAACAAAUCAUUAAAAAAAUACAAAUAGAUGUUAACACGUCAAUCAAUAAAAUUAUAUACAAAAAAAAAAUUAUUAAAAAAAUACAAAUAGAUGUUAACGCGUCAAUCAAUAAAGCUAUAUGUAUAUAAACUUAUUAAAAAAGUGCAUAUAGAUGUUAACAUAAAUUUAUAUCUAUUUAAAUGACAUGAAUAAAUAUUGUACAAAAAUAACAAAUUGUAUGAACUUAUAUAGCAAGGAUUCAUUUAAGUGAUAAAAAUAAACGUGAUAAAUGUUAUAACAAGUCUCUUCAUAAAUAAAAUUAUUGAUGCAUGUAUACCUUAGAACUAUCUUUGUCAGAUAGAGAGUCUGUUUUCGAUAGAUCCUUGACUAACUUACAAAAUUAGGAUUCAAUAGUUAUGUCUUCAAUCUAAAAAUAAUUUUCAAUAUAAUCUCAUAUAUGAAGUCUUUGGAGGAUUAAAUACAUAUUUUAUCAUUAUCUCUGCAGGGUAGAUAGACUGUUCUCAAUUGAUAUUCCUAAUCUAAACCGGGAUAGCAUUAUUAGAUAUGGAUUAGAAGUAAAAAGAUACUUACAUAUAUUUUAAGUUGGUGAAUGAAACUGAAGAAACUACUGUGCUUGAAAAAUCUAGGCAGCAAUGUGGUGGAGGAUUUAUGAGAAUUCCUAACAAUAAAACAAUUCUUUGCUCUGCUUCAGGAAAUCAUUGCAAUGAAGAUAUCAAUGUUAAUUCCCCAGAUAUGCAACAGAGAUUAAAAUAUCAAAACAUACUACUCCAGUAAAGGAGACAAAAAUAAGACAUGAAAGACAAUAUUAUGAGCUUGAGCAUAUAGAUAUUAUAUAUAAUAUUUGACAUCAUAAACGUCAUGUAAUUAGAAUUUGAUUGCUGUUGAAAAAGAGAAUUUGUUUUAUAGUUAAAAAAGUAAAAUUCUAUAUAAGGUAAAGUAAUAAGUCAAUAUAAAUUUAAUAUUUAAAAAGAUUCUGCACUAACAAAAAAAUUAAUUAUUUUCCUAAUAUGAAAAAUAAAUAUUUAAUUUUCUCCUAUAAAUUAGACUUUUUGCCUUAAGUUUUUUUCACCGUUGUUUAGUGAUUCUUUUUUUUUUUUUGAUCCACUUUCAAGUUUUUCAUUAGGAUUUUGGACUUUCUUUCCUUUUCUAGAUGUUUUUGUUUUUGUUUUUUUUUUUCUCCACACGUUUUUAUGCUUUUCUUUUUCUAAUUAACCUUUUCUAAUUCUUUUUCUAAUUAACCUUUCACGUUUUAUGCUUUUCUUUUAUAAUUAACCUUUACUUCCCUCUAUUUAAUAAGAAUAAGAAAUUGUCCUUAAAUAAAACAUAAGUGAAAUAAUGAUUUUAUUUACUGUGAAAACUUUUAAUGAAGGAUAAAAAGUUCAAAUCACUUUUCUAAGGGGCUUCACACUUUUAAUAUAUUAUAGAUAUAGAUUAUAGAUAUAGAUAUAGAUAUAGAUAUAGACAUAGAUAUAGAUAUAGAUUAUAGAUUAGUAAUACACUAGUGUACAUACCCGCGCGAUGCGCAGAUAACACUAAAAUAAUAUUUCUAAUAUUUCAUGUUGGGAUGUCUUGUUCGAGCAUGUUAAAUUCUAUUAUCUUAAAAAUGUUUCAACUAUGAUAUUGUUUCUCAAUGAAAUGUAAGAAUAAAUAUUUUUUUCUCUACCCUCAUCCACAACGGCGGAUCUACGUAGAGCUUGAGGGAUUCACUCGAACCCUCUCAUCGAAAAAUUACACUGCAUAUAUAAGGUGAUCUCUUUCUUUAGACAUAUAUAUAUAUAUAUAUAUAUAUAUAUAUAUUACUAUUAUAUAUAAGAGAGAAUAGAAUUUUUUGAUAGUCCUCACAUGACAUUUUUGUUCUUUUACCCUUAAUUGAAGUUUUUACUACUUUAUAAGUUAACACACAUUUUAGUAAAUUUUAAAAACUUUAAGGUCAUUUACACGCCACUAAAAAUGAAAAAGGUUGUAGUGGGCUCCACAAAACAUACUCAUACAUAUUUGAGUCUUUAUUUUAUGUGAAAAUGUUAUUAAACUUAUUUCAAAUUAUAUUUGAUCUUAACAAUUAAUUAUAAACACAUAAAUAAUUAUUCUAUUGUUCAAUUUCUAUCUUGAUAAAUGCUUGAUUAUUGAAUAAAAAUAUUUUUCAUAUAAUAUUAUUUGUUGAUGUUAUUUAUAAUGUUUAAUUUGCAAUUUAAAUUUUUUGUUAUCGAUUAAUAAGUAUAGUUUAUUUUAUUUUAAUUUUACCUGUGAUUUUAUAUUGUACAUGCCGACAAACAUAAGUAAUUAAUAAAGAUUUCACUUAUGCAAAAUUAUAUUUUACAUUAAAUAAUAAUUAAAUUUAUUAUUGUUAAAUGCUUUUAAAAUUUACUUAUAUUAUAUAUAUGAGAGAAUAGUAUUUUUUGGUAGUUUUCAAAUGAUUUUUUGAUCUCUUUUGCCCUUAAUUGAAGUUUUUAUUACUUUGUAAGUAACACACAUUUUAGUAAAUUUUAAAAACUUUAAGGUCUUUUACACGCCACUAAAAAUGAAAAAGGUGACAGUGAGCACCACAAAGCAUACUCAUACUUAUUUAAGUCUUUAUUUUAUGUGAAAAUGUUAUUAAACUUGUUUCAAAUUAUAUUUGAUAUUAAAAAUUAAUUAUAAACACAUAAAUAAUUAUUCUAUUGUUCAAUUUUUAUCUUGAUAUAUGCUUAAUUAUUGGACUAAAAUAUUUUUCUUAUAAUAUUAUUUGUUGAUGUUAUUUAUAAAGUUUAAUUUGCAAUUUAAAUUUUUAAUUAUCGAUUAAUAAGUAUAGUUUAUUUUAUUUUAGUUUUACCUGUAAUUUUAUAUUGUACAUGGCGACAAACAUAAGUAAUUAACAAAAAUUUCACUUAUUUAAAAUUAUAUUUUAAAUUAAAGAAUAGCCAUAAUUAAAUUUAUCAUUGUUAAAUACUUUUAAAAUGUGUCGAAAUGUUAGUUAUAAUCCUUUAAUUUCAGUCAAAAAUAAAUUUCAUAAUAUGAUAGUUAGUUAAUCUAAUUUUAUGUGCACACAUUUUUAAUCUAAUUUGAUAAAUGACCAUAUUAAAAAUAAAUAAUAAAAUAUUAUAUAUAGUGUUAGAUUCAGUUUGAUUAGUUAGAAUUUCUAAAUAGCUAAACUCAGAAUUUAUUGUGCAUUAUAUUAAGAGUAAUAUCUUGGUGAUGAUUAACUAAGAUUCACGUGCAACACACGUACCCUAAAUGAGUAUGUAUAUAUAUAUAUAUAUAUAUAUAUUCUGAAAAUGCUUGGAAAAAAAGGUUGUAUAAGAAAUUAUAAUUUGAUCUCCUAAUAAAUUAUGAUAAAAAAUCAAUUUGAAUAAUCGGAGAUUAGAAACUCAAAAGAUUUCAGUAAAAUAGAAAUUGAAACUUUCAUACAAGCAUUUUUAUGAUUUUUUUUGAAAGUCUAAUAUUUAAAUUAAGAAAAAUAUUAUCCUUUAACUUUUCAAUACCAUUUUGUACUAUACUAUUUUAAACUCCUUAAAAGCUAUCACACUGAAAAAGAAAAAAGAAGGAUGAGAAAAUUUUUACAAGAUCUAUAAAUUCAAAAUCAGAGUCCAAGAAAUUAAAAAAGUAUGAGAAGAUAUCCAUAACAUGAAAUGGAGUCUUCUAGAGUAUAAAAGCUCACCACUUCAAUCCUACCCAAAGUUAUCCCUGAAUCCAACAUCACUGAGUAGGAGUAGUAUGGCCGAUUCCUGCAUCAUGUGGGGAUGCAACGCUCAAGACGAGUUAGCAGGUGAACGCUAGCAUGUAUUCAGGAAUAAGGAUAAAAUAAUACCAAUAUUUAAAAUCAGGUAAAUAACAAAGUACAGUCACACACACACACACACACACACACACACACACACACACAUAUAUAUAUAUAUAUAUAUAUAUAUAUAUAUAUAUAUAUAUUCUAUGCCGAGAAAGGGAACUGGGUUUAGCUGACACUUAGAAUUUUAACCUGGGUUGUGUAGCUUGACCGUCCUAAAACUACCCACAGGCUAUAUGAGUCCAGUGUUAUCCCCUGAACGGGCUCUAGUGCGUGUAGCUGCAUGAACCAGAGAUAUCAUAGGGGCCGAGGAUUCCCGUGUACCCUUUGCCCUCCAUGAUACAUAUAUAAAAGUAGAAACAUAGGGAAUUCACGUGUACCCCACAAGUCUAUGGUCACCAUGAAAAUCAUCAUGGCGGCAAACAUGAGUUUCCAGUGUCCGUCCAUUGGACUGACACCUUUACAGUUAGCUAUCACAACCCGUCAUUAUUUCCCAAUUAAAACCUUUAGCACAUAACAAAACCACCAAUUGCAGAAUUUAUUUACCAAGGCAUUAUGAAGUGAUGCCGUCAUACCGACUAUAGCUUGCAAGCAAUGUCAUUAGACAACACUUAGGGAAUUCCCAUGUACCUCACAAGUAUUCUAAUUAAAACAAGCCAUGGACACCAACGCCUUUCCAAUCCAUUUAAAAUCAUUUAAACCAAUUUAGGUUCCAUUACAAUCUUAUGUAAUGCAAAAUUUUCAAUAAAAGUCAAACUAUGUGACAAAAACAUUCUCAUUGGCAUUUUAACAAACAUGUUGAGGGCAUAUAGUUUCCAAAACCAAAACCAAGAACUAAUUAAUUAUUCCCAUGCAACCACAUGUUCAAACCAAUAUUAUAACAUGAAAAACUAUAAAUAGAACACGGAAAAACAUCGUCCAACCAUUAGUAAUACACAAAAUUUCCUCAAAGUUGAUCAACAUUAAUUUACGACCUGUAAACUUAUAAUACCCCGCAUUUUUCUAACUUAAUUUAACUCUCAGUACAUGAGUAUUCAUAUAUAAUUUUUGAAAUACUCAGGAAAUCCAUUUAUCUAGUUUGUCAGAUUUUUUUACUUUUUUCUCUCAUUUUAAUACAGUAAAUAAAUAAUUAAAUCCAAUAAAUUAGUGUUUAAUGCAAUUAAAGGCCCUCUAACAGCAAAAUUGAAACAUGAGUCUCUUAAAAACGCCUAUAAACUACUGCUUAGGAUUAAUUCAGAAUCAAUCUACUGUAACUUUUGGACGAUCCACAGAGCUAUUAUUUCCAGAAUGGCCAUCCAUCUUCAUAUGCUUUCUUUUGCAACUUUGUAACACUAGGGAUCUCUUCUUGUAUAUAAUAGAGUAUAUCAAUUUUUCCUAGCUUUUUCGUAUUUAACUUACUAAAAUCCUUUUUGUGUAAAAUAUUUUUCCUUCAUCAACAAGGAGCUAUUCGUCAUCCAUUUUCCUCAACAACCCAUUUACUUAUCAUUUGGGUUCGGGUUCGACCCGACUUCACCAUUCCUUCAUCAAUGUAAAAUUCUCCGUCGCCACCGUCGGCGGAUGCAAUGGCGUCAGAAUCGGCGCCAACCUUAACAUGAAAGCGCAGGCAGUGGAUUUGAGCAAAGAGGUAAUAAUGGAGGAAUCUUAUAAGUGUUUUGUUGGGUACAUGAGCUAGGGCACCAUUGUUAUUGUCCAGUGGCAGAGCAUGUAAAUGGUAUGAUAUUGAAGGGCGAGAGUAUUUAAAUUUGACUUCUGGUAUUGCUGUUAAUGCGCUUGGACAUGGUGAUCCUGAUUGGAUUAAUGUUGUUACUCAACAAGCAAAUGUAUUAACUCAUGUUAGCAACAUUUACUAUUCUCUCACUCAGGUUAGCUACCAUUUUGCAUAAUUUAGGGAUUAAAAAAGUGAUCCUUUUUUUUCCUUAAAAGUUUUGUUGCAUUUUGUUUUGAUGGUUGUUGAGGUGUGGUUUCAUAAUGUAUUGUAUUGUAUUAUACUCUAUAUUUUGAUGGAUAGAGUUAUUCAAUACCUGUUGUCAUUGGGAAGUGACACGUAUUCCGUGGAAUUAAUUGAGGUGGGCGAAAGAGAAAAAGAAAAUUAAUUAAUUAUAGUGCAUGUGGAUUUAAAAAGAUGACCGGUUUUUCUUUUUGAAGUUACUUCACAUUUUGUUUGGAUGGUUGUUACAUAUCUUUUCAUAAUGUAUUGUAUUGUGUUGUAUUAUUUUGAUGGAUACAUUGAAUAGGUUGUAUCAUUUAGUAUCGAUACAUAAUGUCACACAUGAGUACUUUGAAGGAAAAACCUAUAAGAAAUAUGACACGGGGUAAAGCUAAUAUGAAGUAAGUUAAAAGAUAAAAUAGAAUUAUUAUAUAGUAAGCGAAACAAAAUGAGAAGAAAAACCUGGCAAAUAAAAAGGUGAUGUUUUUUUUGAAAUUUCUUUAUACUUUGUUUGGAUGGUUGUUAUAUGUUGUUUCAUAAUGACCUUUUAUUAUUAGCUAAUUUUUACAUAUACUCUCUAUGUUAUUAUUUUUAUUUUGUAUUUUAUAUAAAUUUCUAAUUAGUGUAAAUUCAUAGUUUCUUUAGGUUCAAAAUAGUAUUUAUGACUUUAUUCAAAAUAUGUCAACCGUAGUCUUUUGAAAGAAAAGUUCAUUGUAUCUUAAAGCUUUAACUUCUUAUGUAACCUGAAAAAUAAAUUAAUGACAAUAUUAAAGAUGAUAGUUAACCUCUUGAAUAUGAAGAGGAAAGAAACGGUAAAUUGUAAUAAAUUCAUCAAGCAAACACUAAACAUAUAAAUAUAUUAUGGUACAAAAGAAUUGUGAAAAAUUAUGAGAUAAAUAUUAGAUUGUUGCGAACUUCUACUACUAUCUAUUGUCUCUUGUAUUUCAAUUAUUUUACUGAAUUUGUAAUAUGAGGUAAAAUCAAUUUCGUCUUUUAUCACAUGUUGUUUCCUUUAAUUUGUUAUUUAGGUGAUUUAAUUUAGUAGCUUUUUCAGACUCGAUAAAAUGCUCAAUCGUCCCUAAAUUUUUUGUUUGGUUUUUCUUUAGAAGUGAGUGCGUUUUUUUUACUAAUCAAUUUAGUUGCAAUUUUUUUUUUAAUAAUAAAGAUUGCAAUGAUGACAUUGUAUUAUUAAUUUAUUUUUACAUACUUUCAAUGUUUUUAUUUUUAUUUUGUAUUUUAUAUGAAUUUUUAAUUGGUGUAAAUUCAUAAUUUCUUUUGGUUAAAAAUAGUAUCUCUGACUUUAUUCAAAAUAUGUCAAUCAUAGUCUUUUGAAAGAAAAAGCUCAUUGUAUCUUAAAGACAUCUUAUGUAACUGAAAAAAUAAAUUAAUGACAAUAUUAAAGAUGUUAAUUAACCUCUUGAAUAUGAAGAGGAAAGAAAUGACAAAUAUUAAUUGUAAUAAAUUCAUCAAUCAAACACUAAACAUAUAAAUACAUUAUGGUAAAAAAGAAUUGUGAAAAAUUCUGAGAUAAAUAUCUGAUUGUUAUGAACUUCUGCUACUAUCUAUUGUCUCUUGUAUUUCUAUUUCGAUUAUUUUAUUGAAUUUGUAAUAUGAGAUAAAAUCAUUUUCUUCUUUUAUCACAUGUUGUUUAAUUCCUUUAAUUUGUUAUUCAGGUGAUUUAAUUUAGUAGCUUUUUCAAACUCGGUAAAAUGAUCAAUCGUCUAGAGGAAUUGAAUGGUAAUCGACUUGUGAAGUGAAUGUCGACGAGUGUUUAAAGAUUGUACAUUUUCUUCAUAUAUAUUUUUAUUUUUUAAUGAUAAAGAUUGCAACAAUGACGUUGUAUUAUUAAUUAAUUUUUAUAUAUUCUCUCUAUGUUUUUAUUUUUAUUUUGUAUAUUAUAUGAAUUUCUAAUUUGUGUAAAUACAUAAUUUCUUUUGGUUCAAAACAGUAUCUCUGACUUCAUUCAAAAUAUGUCAAGCAUAGUUUUUUGAAGAAAAAAAAGUUCAUUGUAUCUUAAAGACAUCUUAUGUAACUGAAAAAAAAAAUUAAUGACAAUAUUAAAGAUUAUAAUAAAUCUUUUGAAUAUGAAGAGGAAAGAAAUAACAAAUAUUAAUGGUAGUAAAUUCAGCAAUCAAAUACUAAACAUAUAAAUACAUUAUGGUAAAGAAGAAUUGUAAAUAUUAUGAGAUAAAAGCUCAAUCUUAAAGACAUUUUAUGUAAUUGAAAAAAAAUCUAUCUAUAUCUAAUAACAGAGGCAAAACUACCAUGUGGCAGCACCUCAUAAAAGCAGCAAUAUUUAAAAAAAAUAAAUUAAAAAUCUAUUUCUUAAACACACUUAACUUCCUCAUCCCUAUUUCAAUGGAAAUACAGUUAUUAAAAGAAGAAUAACACUGUCCACUUACAAAUAUUUUUUGCUAAUUUGCUAAUAAACUUUUACUUAUUGUUUUACUUAAAUAACAAAAGAUACAAAAAAGCAAUUUUCAUUACAACAUUAAAAAAACUACAAUUCAAAUUUAAAGAACAAUAAAUACAAAAUAAACAAAUAAUUACAAUACAAAUUUAAAUAACAAUAACUACAAAAUAAACAAAUAAUUACAAUACAAAUUUAAACAACAAUAACUGCCAAAAAAAAAAAAACAUUAACUAAAGAUGAAAAAAAAAACUUAAUUACAUUCUUAAAAAAUACUUAAACAUCAAUAACUGCAAAAAAAAAAAUUAUAAUAAUUAGGACAAAAUUUUAAACAACAACAAAUGCUAAAAAGAAAAUGAGAUAUACACACGCCAUCUAACAAGUUUGUUUAUUUUAAUUAUUAAAAUUUAAACCAGUAACUGCCAAAAAAAACAACAUUAACUAAAGAUGAAAAAAAAACUUUUUAAUUAAAUUCUUAAAAAGUAUUUAAACAUCAAUAACUGCCAAUUUUUUUUUAUAAUAAUAAGGACAAAAUUUUAAACAACAACAAAUGCUAAAAAGAAAAUGAGAUAUUCACACGCUACCUAACAAGUUUGUUUAUUUUAAUUAUUCAAAUUUAAACCAAUAAAUAAGAAAUUUAAACAGAAACGUGAUAUCCUUUUAAUUAGGGAUAGUUAGAAGGAGUUGGUUUUAAAACCACCCACUAAACUCCUUUUUUUAUAAUUGUCUUUCAUUACAACUCAUUUUCUUAUUCGUAUAUAAUCCUUACUAGGUUCUACAUUUUCUGCAGUUUAUACAUGUCCUUAUAUUUCUGACAUUCUGCAAUUUACGUAGUACUGCCAUAAUCAUAUAUGGCUUUUCAUAGCAUCUCACAAAUUACAAGCAGUUCUAUGCAAUUAAAUUUGAGAGUAAGAACUAUUCGCCUUUGUCAAUUGCAGGAUAAAUUCAAACCUGAUGUACCAUAUUCAUUAGAUAUGGUUUUACAGGAUUCUAAGGUACUAAUUGCUUUUUACUACUUUUUCAUAUUUCACGGUGUUUACAUUAAUAAUUUCCUUUUUUAUUUUAAAGUUGUAUAUACACUGAACAAUACUAAUUCUCUGUCUCAAAUUAGGGCGAUCGCAUGCAUGCUUCAAUUGGCAAGUAUGAUAUUAAGUUUUUCAAGAACAAGAUGGAGGAACUUGAGUUAUAUCGCAUUAACAACUUUGUUGUUACAUCAAAUUUCAAGAAAUUUAAGAUUACAACGCACAAGCACAGGUUGAUUUUCAUAAAAAUGACUUCUGUCGAGAAAAUUACUGAUCCUUCAUUUCCUAUGGACAUACUUAAUUUGUGUCCAUUUGACCAACUCACAAUUCACCAUAUAGUCGAUGACACGAAACUUUUCGGUAAUGUUUCUCUUCAUUGUCAGUUUAAAAUUUAUCAAUAAUCUGUACUUUUUAUUUUUACUAAUCCAUUUAUAUUUAUAGAUGUUGUUGGUCAGAAUGUCACAUAUGAAGCUGUUCAAACAUUCAAGCAAGGAGACAGUAAUAGUGUAUUUAUAAAUAUUGUGCUAGAAGAUGAUAAGUAUGCCUUAUUUUCUUCUUUACAUUACAAUUGGCACUGCUAUAUUCACUAAUCAUUGAUAACAGAUGAAUAAGAAUUAGAGAACAAACAAUCAAUUUAAUAAAUACACAUUUUAUAUGGUAAAGCUGCAACAUUAAAUACACAUAUAUGGUAGAUUGAAAAUAGUAAUGUAAAUCAUUUAAUGAAAUCUUUAUUCUUACGGGAGAAAUAGACUUUCAACAACUUUAUGGGGCGAACUUGUGGAUCAAAUUCAACCUUAUUUGAGUGCAUCCACAGAUGAACCUUUGAUUAUGGUUCUUCAAUUUAUGAAGGCUCAAAAAUUUAGAGGUAUGAAUAUUUCAAACUAUAAUACAUAACAGAUUUAUUCAAAAAUUAUUUUUAUUUUCAAAUUCUAAAUAUUAUUUCAAACAGAUGUCUACUCCGUUUGUAGUUGUUGGUACCAAACUAAGCUAUGGAUAAAUCCAUCUCUGCCGCAAUCUAUUGCUUUUAAAUCCAGGUUUGUCACAUCCAACUAUUGUUUUAACACAUUUAUCAAUUAAAUUUAAUAUUAAAAUUUAGAAUAUAGAUUAAUUUAUAAUUUUAUACUAUUUUUCAUUCAGAUUAAAUGCAACAUGUGCUUCUAACUAUGAGCGGCUUAGCCAGACAAGUUCCCAACAGUGUUAUUCUAUCAUGGAUGAGUUAACCAAAGGAAUUGUACCUUUUAAAUAUAUCAAUGAUUUGAUUGUAUGCUUAGAAGUGAGUUGAAUAAUUUUUUUCAUUCCUAAUUAACUUAGCACAAUGUGUUUAAAUAUUAUAACAAUAUUUUCUCUAUCAAACAGGAAGCUAGCUAUUGGAUUGCUGCAAAAAUUGUUUGUUUUGAUCUUGAUCAUGGAUGGUCAUACAUGACUUGCAACAAGUGUAUUAUAAAGGUUGAACAAGAUGAAAACUCAUUUUUUGUCCAAAAUGCAAUUCAGAGGCAAAAGUUGUUCACAGUAAUUACAAUCCUACAUGAAUUUUUAUCAAGAAAAAACUUAAUAUUGUUAACAUGAUAAAGAAUGAAUUUCAGGUAUAGGCUACAAGUUCGUGUAAUGGAUGAAACUGGUCUUAUAACCCUAUUACUUUGGAAUCGUGAGGCUGUUCAACUUAUGGGGAAAACUGCAAAAGAGCUAAAGGAAGACUUAAUUGAUGAUGAUGAAUGUUCGUAUCCAAGUGAACUGGAUGAUAUCGUUGAAAAAAAAACUCAAGUUUAAAGUCAUGGUGAAGGAAUCUAAUAUAUACAAGCAGGAUGAGGUCUACAAAGUUCUAAAAUUUGCUGAUGAUGAAUCUCUUUUCAAGGAAUAUUGUCAUCCUUCACUAAAAUAAAUAUAUACAAGCAGGAUGAGGUCUACAAAGUUCUAAAAUUUGCUAAUGAUGAAUCUCUUUUCAAGGAAUAUUGUCAUCCUUCACUAAAAUACACUGUAAUAUAAAGAAAUAUAAAUCUCAAGUUCUAUAAAAAUUAUAAAUUUUAUUUUAAUGACAUUACUGUAUUUCAUUAGGAUUUUCUGUUGAAGGGGCACAAAACAAGGGAGGUGAUGAGCUUUUUGAGGUAAUUAUAUGUUGCAUUUGUAGGUGUUUAAAUCUAAACUCAUCAAAAAGUAUAAUAAUUUUACUAUAAAGUAAUAACAUACCUUUUGUAAUGGAUAAUCAUCUUUUUUUUUUCAUCACAAACAUGCAUUUUUGUAUCCUGUGUAUAUAUUUUCUUUGGCAUAUCAACCUUUUGACACAAAUAAAAGAGAGUUAUAAUUAUUAAAAACUUCAUUCUAUCAUUUACAUAAUUAUUAUACAGAUAUUUAUCAAAAUAAAAAAGCUGAAUAAAUUUUAGUAUCAAUACAAGUUUUAUUCUUAUCUAACACAAUUUUAAUCUAUGCAAUCUAUUCCAGACUCCCAUCAAGAACAAUCUAUCAGGUUGUGGAUCAUCUGUAACAGAAAUUAGUGUUGAUUUGAUAGAAAAGCAGUAUACCAAAAGAAGCAAAGGUGUUGGAAAAUUGUCAAUGCAGGAAUAUGAUGAUGAAUGUAAUGACAAACAAUCCACCAACAAGAUCCGCAAAGUGAUUAAGAAGGAAAAAAAACAUGAGUAGUUGAGUCCAUGUUCAACUGUAACUUUUAUGUUAAUUUUAGUUUCAGUUUAUUUUGUAAUGAACAAGUACUAUAUUAGAUAUAAUGAAGAAUAUGUGUGGUUGUUUCACUUCAUAAAUUACAGAUUGAAAAACAUCUUUAAAUAUCAUGCAGAAAAAACUGAGCAUGAUUGAAAAAUAAUAUGAAAAAAAUUAAAAAAUGAGAGUAGUAGUAUCCUUACAUAGAAACAGAUCAUUAUUCCGUCUUCAAUUAACUUGCUAGGCGUGAAAAAUGAUAGUAAUAGUAUCCGUACAUAGAAACAAGAUCAUUAAUCAGUCAUCAAUUAACUUGACAGCCGCAACCUUCUUGGUUGGUUCCAGGACAUACAUUAACUCAGCACUGCAGCCCGUGCAUAAAUGAUUCUGCACACGGACAACAAAUAACUCAUACUUAUCUUAGGAACAAUAACAUAGACCAAAUAUGAUAAUUCAUUAAAUUGACAGUUGAAAAUGGACCUGUAUGCUUUUCAAGGAAAAUAUCAUAAGACCACAAGUUUGACACAAUAAAGAGACAUGAGAGUGGCCUAUGGAUUCAAUGGUUGCAGAUACCCCUGUGGUAGAGUUUAAUGACUACAUCUUGGAAAAUUGGCCCAUUUAUACAAAUUAUCACCCUAACCACAUGUAACUUUUUCAUCUUCAUCCUGUUAUAAUCUAAGAGAAUAAAAUUCUCAAUUUUUGAAAUCUAAGAAGUUAUUCUGGAGGUCACCUGAUGCUAAGACAUAUCAUUGAAUAUUAACCGAAUGAUUUCUCACAUAAAGUAAGUGCAUGUGAGCCAAUCCAGAUGCAGAUAUAAUAAGAUUUUUGUCAAAAAAUUAGGUGAACUUUCAUAGCAUUCUGGACAAUCUUAAUAUUUGCCUUAACUUUACAACUAGAAGACAGUAUCUAGCUUUAUCAUAAAAGAUUAGUUAAAAGUAUAGUUUCCAAGAGUCACAAGAGGAGACCUGUGCACUUCAAUACCAGUUUUAGAGGUUAAAAGGAUAAAAGAAUACCAGUUUUAGAGGUUAAAAGGAUAAAACAAUUAAAUAGAUUUUCACUAGAUGAUAAAACAAAUGAACAUGCCAUGCAAUGGACCCGAAGUAAGAUGUAGCUAUUACAAAGGGCAGUAUGGUGCACUUAUCUCCCGCUAUGCGGAUUUGGGGACAGAUAGGACCGAAUUGGGUCUUAUUGUACACAGUCUAACCUUGCAAGUUUUAGUAAUUCAGGACCACGAAAUAUAAUGUGCUAAUACCUAUACUAAGCCAUAAUGUUGAGAACAACUUCGCGAAGUUCCUAACAAUCUAAAAGCCACCCUUUUUUUGGGAGGUAAUAUCAUCUACACCACCCUGAACAAACUCUACGGACCUUAGCAGGUCCCUAAUUAGACAUUAAAGGUCUUUCCUGAUAUAAUGACAGUUAGCACAACCUUCUUUUUGCCUUAGGAGUAAAAUAUGGCAUUAAGAAUCAAGACACAGAAAAUUAAACAGAAAACCUGGCCACUCACCAGUUGUCUUCUGCCUAUUUGCAGCUAUUAGUAUCCAAUAGUUCACCUAAUUGUUCUUACGCUAGUUAGUUGUUCCACACAUCAAUUAGUUCAACGAUUCAUCAAAGCACAAGGUAUUUGACCCUAGACCAAUGUCUUCUAUUAUGAGGCAAAUAACUUACCAACAGUUCCAAAAGUGUCAACGGAUCCUGAAUUCAGCACAUGUUUCUGCACGGCUAGAGUCAACUCUGAAGCUGGCAGUCCAGCAUCAUUUCUGUUUUAUAUUAGUUGCGGGGAACAAUGAGCCAUAUAUUGGAAUAUAUAAUUAGCAGCAAACUACUGAAGAAGAGAACACGCAAGACCAGUAUUCUCCGUUGCAAUCAAUAUAGAAUCAGAUAAAUGCCUCUCAAGUCUCAACAUCUUGAAAAUAAUGUAGAUGAUAGUUGAAAAAGAAUAGAAUACAAAAUGCUUUACGGCCUGAGAGUCGCAAUGCAAGUCAGGGAGCUUACUACAAAAGAAGAUGGUUUUCAAGAAGCAUAUUACAUGAAUCAACUAUACAAUUUGCUUAAUUUUUCAAGAUUAGAAUAAUGAGAAGCAUGUGGAUGAAGAAGGUGGCAAGCACACGAACUUUGAAAGUUGAUACAUUAAUAGUCAGAGUGGAUUCUUCAGUAGUGAAAAUUCCUGCAGUAUAAAGUUUUAAACUUUCUAAACAAAUUCUGAGCAAAAGCAACAGCAUAGACCACGAUCCUGAUGGUAAUUAUAUAUUUAUCACAACAUAGACAGGAAAACCAUCUUAAUACUUCUUAAAUAUGAAAAAUAUCUUUCGUGAAAGAGAAGUUGAAAGACGGCAUAGAGAUCUGCAGCUUUUACAGAAAAUUUCAAAUAAAAAGGGAAGAUACUCUUGAAUCUGUGGAAUCAUGGAACAACUCUGGCUCAUAAAAAAUAGUUACCUUUUGGCAUCAGUGCAGCUCCUGCAUGACCACCAUUGCCUUCAAAUGUUACUUUGAUGCUUGCUGGAGCGGCAAUUGCAGUCACAACACCAAUCGAAUGCUUUGAUGCUUGCUGGAGCGGCAAUUGCAGUCACAACACCAAUCGAAACACCUUCAUUGGCAGAUACACCAACUUAUUUAUUGAUAUGACUACAAUUAAACCUGUACUUGCAUCGGAUGAUGAAGAAUAGGAUAAGCAUUUAACAACAGCUGACCUUUUUCUAGAAUAGGACCUUGCUCUAUGUGCAACUUGACGAAAGCAGAAUAAGUUCCUUUUUUGAGAAAGACUUCAGACAAAUCCCCCUUAGCAUUUGCGUAACCAACAGACUUAUCAGCAUCAGAGAAGGAAACAUUAUGGCUGUCUUUUGUACUUAUCAGUUGUUCUGCAAAUUGUACAAUUCCUGCCAGCAAACGGCUGGAAAUAUAAUGACCAUUAGAACCUCAACUGGACAUGGGACAUGUUUAGUUACUGCUAAAUUGCAACAUAAGCAGUCAAAAACCAAAUGCAUUUGCUUAUGAUUUUAGGUGUUAAAGUAAGUGAUCAAGCUUCUAACCUUCCCAGACAGCUAAUCCCAAACCUCGUGGGCUCUUCUGAGGUAAACAUAAUCACUUCCAGUGUCCUCUGAGGCUUGAAACCCGACCUAUGGUAAUUUUGAUUUUUAAUCAGCAAGUAAAAGCCAGAGUUCUGUAGUCAAAUAAAGUAGUAGCCAAACACAAAGUGUAUUUAUAAUUAUUGAGCUCUCUGAGUUCCAUGACUUGGACAGUACCUCUUUUAAAUUGCAAAUGAGUUUUUACAGUAUAAAAUGCCAGAAUUUCUUACCAAUUCCUUUAUGCAUAGCUAGCGUAAACUUGAAUAAAUGCAUUCUGUGUUAGAGAGAUAUUCAAUAUUAUUGAAAUAUCCAAUAUUAUCGAAAUAUAAAACAUCUUAACAUAAGAGUAGUGAAGUUUUCUACUUCAUCAAAAAACAAAAUAUGAUAUUAAUUAUAUAUGUGAAUUCAAUUUGGAGUGCUUUGCAAACUUUACCUGCCUCUGCAACAUAGUUGAUGGAGGUCAUUAUGAACUCCAAUACACCAAAAUAGGGUUGUCCAGAUGGUUAAAAUACAGGCAGCUCCAAAGCUCCUCGAACAUUGUUAAGUAGUGCAUGAUCAAGCCAAGGAAGCUCUUUACUGGAGUAUUAUUGCACGUUUGUUGUCUAUACAGGCAACUAAGACGGAAGACACAAACUGGAAGUUUAAGAACUCACCAGUCUCUCCUUCAUCAGCAGAAAUAUACAUUAGAAAAAACAUUUGUUAUCGAUGAAGCCCAUUACAAUCUGGGUCAAUUACAAAAGGCUGUCCAGAAGUUGUAAGCACAGACCAGCCAACUUCCAUCUUAAUUGACUUUGCAGCAUUUGGAAUGUUAGAUUUGGGACCAAUCCAUCACUGUUCAAUGAAAGUCCAUUGAAAAAUCGACACAUUGCAUGUUCCAGAACUCCACAAUACUCAACUGCUGACAAAUUAAAUAUCAGUUAAAAAAUAAAAUAAAUAAUCUGCAAAAAAAAACUGCCUAUAGUCAACUGCUUUUGUUUUCUUAAUACUAAAUAUAUUUUUCAGACAAAUUACAGUUUCAUUCACUUUUGUCAUGGAAGAUCAAAAGAAACUUGCAAGAAGAAAUAGAAUAUGCUUACGAAAAAUCAUAAACGAGGAAAAUUUUUGUCAGAUAACAAUGGCAUGAAUCUUUAUUCUUUGUUCUUUUCCAUAUAUUUUACAUUUCCCCUUUAGUAGCUUUGUGAUAUCACUCUUUUGUAACACUGUUUAAUAUAAUUUCAAGUUUGAAAAUAUAUAUUCUUUACAAAGAAUGGCUAACAUUAAUAUGUGUAUGACAGAUUUUGAGAGCAGUUCAUCUACAACUACAAAUCAACCUAAGGAUAAAGGACUAUUGGUAGAUGAGAAUAGUUAUUCAAACCAUUUAAAUAUGCAAUAUAAUAAUAUGUCAGGUAUGUCAUUUUAAAAAUUGUAAUUCAUACUCUUACAACAACUUCAUUAAUUUUAAACUUUAUGCAUCAAGGUCAUGUGCUCUCAAACCAACAAACCCCUGAUGAAAAUGUAGAUGAAGGUAUAUUUGAAGGUACGUAGAUAGAAACCCAAAUACAAUUGAUAUUGUUAAACUGUAUUAAGAUAUCCAACUUUAUUUCUUUUUAAAUAUAUUAUUUUAAUAUUAUUAUUUGUAGAUGAUGAAAUAGAAAGUUAGACAACUAACAAUCAAGGUAUGUUGUUUGUUAUAUUUAUUAAUAUUUCAUAAUUACUGUAUUAUUUACAAUAAGUACAUUGACUGCAUAUUUAUUUUACUUUGACAAUAUUAGAUUAUUGGGAUAUAGGAGAUCCUACAUGUGAAUGUGAAUGCUGUGGGGCAUACUUCUGCUACGAUGAAAGAAUUGAGAAGAAAUAUAAAAAUAAAAAACCAGUAUUUACUUUAUGUUGCAGUAGCGAAAAAAUCAAGCUGGCAAAUCCUAAAAAGCCUCCUUUUAUUUGAAUGGAGUUAUUGCUCGGAUCAGGUAAAUGUAUUCAUUUAUAAAUCAAAUGACAAAAUCUCUGUAUGAAUAUAGAAAAGUUCAAAAAAACUUUGAUUUCAUGUAGGAAAAAAAUGUAAUCAUUUCAGAGAGAAUAUUAGAACAUAUAAUUCUAUGUUUUCUUUUACAUCAAUGGGUGGAAAAGUUGAUGCAUCUGUCAACCAAUCAAAGGGACCAAGAACAUUUCGAUUGUCUAGGCAAAAUUAUCAUAAAAUUGGAAGUUUACUGCCUACAGAGGGAUCAUCUCCAAGAUCCGCACAAUUGUAUAUUUAUGAUACAGAAAAUGAGGUGGACAAUAGAAUUCAGGCUAUCAGGUGAGUACUUAUAUUAUUGGUCAUUAAAAUUAUUUUUAUUUUAAUUAAACUUCUCAAAUACGAUCACAAAUUAACUUUAUUUUAAUAUUUUAUUCUUACAGUCGUGGCGAAAGUAACAUUCAAAUAAAUGCUGAAAUUGUGAAUGAACUGAAGCAAAUGCUAGAUGAACACAAUGUAUUAGCAAAGUGUUUUACAAUGAUAAGAGAUAGAUUUUAAGUAGUUGAAAAUUCAAAUCUGCGACUCAGAUUGAUAGGGAAAAGAGGCUUCGAUGGAAGAAGAUACAACUUACCAUCAGUUUCAGAGGUUGCAGCUUUGGUCGUUGGUGAUUUUGAACCAAAAAUGUCAGACAGAGAUAUUAUUAUUGAAAGUCAAUCUGGACAGCUUAAGAGGAUAAAUGAAUUGAAUGCCUCAUAUUUAGGAUUGCAAUAUCCUCUACUCUUUCUAUAUGGUGAAGAUGGAUAUAGAGAAGAUAUUCCUUUAAAUCUUAAGGAUGAAUCAAGUGGUGGAAGAAAAUGUGUUAGCUGCCGUGAAUACUUCUCAUACAAAAUUCAAGAAAGGAAGCAUGAUGAUUCAACUAUUGUGUUAUCUAAAAGAUUAUUUCGGCAAUUCUUAGUUGAUGGUUAUACAAUGAUGAAAUCUUUUAGAUUGAAAUUUAUUAGGCUUCAUCAAAAAAAGUUGAGAUGACACUUUUAUAAAGGGUUAGAAAAAGCUGUUUUAAGAAGAGACACAGAACCGUCUUCUCAAGGACAGAGAGUUAUACUUUCUUCAUCAUUCACUGGAGGGGCACGUUACAUGUUGCGAAAUUAUCAGGAUGCCAUAAAAAUUUGCAAAUGGGCUGGAUACCCUGAUAUUUUCAUCACAUUUACUUGGAAUUCAAAAUGGCCAGAGGUUACUAGAUUUGGGAAGUGUAGGGGAUUGUCUCCGGAAGAUCGUCCAGACAUUUUAACAAGGAUUUUAAAAAUCAAAUUGGAUCAAUUGUUAAGAGAUCUGCGAGACAAUAAUGUUUUUGGUGAAGUAAAAACAGGUAUAACUUCAUGCUAUAUGACAAUAUUACAUUAAUUUUUAAAUUAUUUGUAAGCUACUAUUAUAAUUAUCAACCAAAAAACAAACAGUACUAAUAUAUCUUUUUAUACAGUGAUUUAUACCACUGAAUUUCAAAAGAGUGGUUUGCCUCAUGCACAUUUCCUACUUUUUCUUCAUAAUAAAUGUCCAAAUACUGCCAAUAUUGAUGACAUUAUUUCAGCUGAAUUGCCUGACAAUUUAGUUGAUCCUCAAUAUUAUGCGACUGUUACAAAUUUAAUGAUUCAUGGACCAUGUGGUACUGCAAGAAAAUCUUCUCCUUGCAUGCAAAAUGGUAAAUGUACAAAGCACUUUCCAAAAAAAAUUUGUGAAUUCAACUACAGUUGAUGAUGAAGGGUAUCCUAUAUACAGAAGAAGGGAUGAUGGAAGAUCUACAAAGAGAGCAGGUAUUGAUUUAGAUAAUAGGUAUGUUGUGCCACACAAUAGACUCUUAUUAUUGAAAUAUGGUGCACAUAUUAAUGUGGAAUGGUGCAACCAAUCAAGGUCCAUUAAAUACUUAUUUAAGUAUGUUAAUAAAGGCCAUGAUCGUGUAACUGCUACUUUUUCUCAAAGUGAAAAUACUGAUGACUCAAGAGUUGUUGAUGAAAUAAAUAUGCAUUGUGAUUGUCGGUAUAUAUCGCCAUGUGAAGCAGCUUGGAGAAUUUUUAAAUUCUCAAUCCAUCAUAGAGAACCAUCUGUAGAAAGGUUACCCUUUCAUCUGGAUGGCAAUCAAAAUGUCAUAUUUUCAAAUGAUGAUUCGAUUGAUGUAGUAGUUAACAGAUCAACCGUAAAAGAAUCAAUGUUUUUAAAAUGGUUUGAAGCAAAUAAGGAAUUUCCUGAAGCAAGAGAGCUAACAUAUGCAGAAUUUCUUCUAAAGUUUGUGUGGAAUCAACAAUUGAAGAAAUGAAAAAAAAGACAAACUUCUGCAUUUUCUAUUGGCAGAAUUUUCUUUGUUCCUCGGGGAUCUGGAGAGCAAUAUUAUCUUAGAUUGUUGUUGAAUGUUAUCAAAGGUCCAACAUCCUAUGAGGAUCUUACAAAAAUAAAUGGUCAUGAUCAUAAGAAUUUCAGGGAUGCGUGUUAUGCUCUAGGUUUAUUAGACGAUGACAAAGAGUACGUGGAUGCUAUAGUGGAAGCAAGUAAUUGGGGAAUGCCAUCAUAUCUAAGGCAAUUAUUUGCUAUGCUACUUUUAUCAAAUUCAAUGUCACGUCCAGAGAUUGUUUGACAAUCAACAUGGCAUUUACUAUGAAAGGAUAUCCUUCAUGAACAAAGAAGAGUUUUAGAAAACCCAGGUACUUAAAUAAAACUUUUAGUUUUUAUUAAAUAUAUAUAAUAUAUUUUAUUUCAUUCACAAAAAUUUGAAAGCAAAUGAUAUAAAUACACUUCUUCAUUAUCUAAUAAAAAUUUUCAUGUUCAUAUAUAUCAUUAACCAUUUCCAAAAUAUACUUUUCAAAUUUAAUGUAAUUACUUAUUUAUGUUGUUGUGCAUUUUCAGAAGUUAACCUAACAGAUAAUGAUCUAGAAAAUCUUUGCUUGCAAAAGAUUGACCACUUUAUAAAAGGUUGCAGAAGAAGUUUUCUUAAUUUUCCAACAAUGCCAAUGCCUGUUUAUAACGAGGAAGAGGUUGACCAGAAUAAUAGAUUAAUCUUUGAUGAAAUGCGUUAUAACAGAUGAGCUUUAGCAGUGGAACAUCAACAAUUGGUCGGGAAUUUGACAGAUGAGCAGAACACUAUGUAUGAAAAGAUAAUAACAGUUGUGAAUGAAAACAAGGGUGAAUUUUUCUUUUUAUAUGGUUUUGGAGGAACAGGUAAAACUUUUAUUUGGAAUACUUUGUCUACUGCCAUAAGAUCUAAAGGAGAGAUUGUGUUAACAGUUGCUUCUAGCGGAAUUGCAUCUCUUUUGCUACCAGGUGGUAGAACAGCUCACUCAAGAUUUGUAAUUCCACUAAAUGUAACCGAAGAUUCGACAUGUAAUAUCAAGCAAGGUACUCCUUAGCAAAUUUAAUUAUCAAGAUAAAGUUGAUUAUCUGGGAUGAAGCACCAAUAAUGCAUAGAUACUGUUUUGAAGCUCUUGAUAAAAGUCUAAGAGAUAUUCUUAGCUUUAAAGAUUCAUCUAAUUCACAAAGACCUUUUGGAGGUAAAACAGUUGUUUUUGGUGGUGACUUCAGACAAAUAUUACAUGUUAAUGCAACUCUCAAUUCUUCAUAUUUAUGGUCUCAUUGUCAACUGUUGCAACUAACAAAGAAUAUGAGAUUACAAGGUACUGAAAUAGAUACAGAUCUGGAUGAGUUGAGAGAUUUUGCUAAUUGGAUUUUGGAUAUUGGUGAUGGUAGGAUUGGAAGUUCAGUUGAUGGCAUUGAAAAAGUUUCUAUACCAAAGGAUCUUCUGAUAAAUGAGUCCAUCGAUCCAAUAUCUGUUAUUGUCGAAAGUACGUAUCCAGAUUUUAUUAGUUGCUAUAAUGAUAUAGGAUACCUACAAAAAAGAGUCAUUCUUGCUCCAACUCUUGAUAUGGUGGAAUCAAUCAAUCAAUAUAUGAUUUCUCUCAAUCAAAAUCCUGAGAAAUCAUAUUUGAGUUCUGAUAAAAUUUGUGACUCUGACCAAACCUAUUCAGCAUUGGAACAUGUACAUACACCAGAAUUUUUAAAUAUUAUUAAAUGUUCUUCUGUACCAAAUCAUGCUAUCACUUUAAAGGUUGGAGUUCCGGUGAUGUUAUUAAGAAAUAUUGAAUUGUGUAAUGGAACAAGGUUAAUUGUAACUAGACUUGGAAAUCAGGUAAUUGAAGCUAAAGUUUUAUCCGGACGGAUGGUUGGACAGAAAGUGUUUAGUAAAUGAAUCAUAAUUAACACAAUUAAAUGGGAGGCCCGCAUCAUACAACCAUACCGCGAAAGCAUUUACCGCUCGCUCCCUUAAUAUUUUUUUUGUGUCAUUAAUUCCUCGUCCUCCUCCUACUCCCGCCUUUUCAAAGCCGGUGUUAUGUUGUGGCUUUUGUGGAUAAAACUUAUCUAUAGGACCUUUCGUCACAUGUGCCGAGGAUGAUACACUACCACCGCUUGAAGACAUUUUUUGAUAUUUGGAGGGAGGCAUCAUUUCCUCAAGUUCAUUCAUAUCAUCAUCAUCAGUGAUAUUAUAUGAUGGCAUAUAUCGUUGAUUCUUUGGAUUUGUUGUGACUUUGCUAUCAACAAAUGUCUUUACUUCAUCCCUAAUGUUUGCCAGACAAGAUUGACAUAUCCUCUCAUUUUUGUUUCCACCUAACAAGUGUUGUUUGAAUCGUGUAUACCGCCAUUUAUGGUACGUCGACAAAAAUUACAAAUCACCGCAUCUGUUGUCGGUCCUUGUGUACCAUAAUUCCAUCCUAUAUCUUUUUGUUUGCUACUAGUAGAUUGAGAGUGAGACGCCAUUGAAGUUGAAAACUGUUAAUGAUCAAAUAAUUUAAUUAGUAUAGUACCAUCAUGCUAUUUUAAUUCUACAUAAGUUAUUAUUUAUUAAAAAAAAUACAUAAAACAGUGCACUGGUUGACUGGUUAUUACUGUAACAGUAAGUUCACUGAUACAGUCACAGAUACAGUGACAGCCGGCCGGAAAUAGAAGAAGAAGAUGAUAAAAAAAGGAAAAAAAAAAAAAACAGCACCAAAAUACCAAGUCCAAUCCAGCGAUUAAGAAGAAGAAAAAGGAAGGGAAAAAAAUAAAAAUCAAAGCUUACCAGAGUAGCAGAAGUUGCCGGAGUUACAGUUGUGCGAUGAAUGAUAGCAGCCACAGUGAAUAACUUGUAAGUUGGUAGUGUUAAAAUGUGUAGAUACACCCUAAAAUUAUCUUAUAUAUCCAAAAUCCUAAUUUUUUAAAAAAACAAUUAAAAGGUGUCGCCUUUCUCGCCACUUCGCCAUUCUCGCCAAGGCGUCGCCUUUUCAUUUUCGCCUCGCCAUGGACUGCUGUGGUGACAUAGGGUCGGCUCGCCUCGCCUCUCGCCAUUGGCGACGUGGCGCUCACCAUUUACAACACUGCUGGAUAGUGUCGAGCUUCAGCGGAAGACCCAUUAUGACUUCUGUCAUCAUAGUUCUCUGAUUGUUGUCGAAUUCAUUGUCAGCUGAGCUCUCCAAUACCUAAAUUCGGUUUUUAAGCUCAGCCAUCUGCUCCUCUAUUUUGGCCAUUUGCUUUAAUUUCUUCAGAGGCUAGCUAUUUUAAUGAUAAAUAUUUAGUUAUUAAAAUUUGUUGACGCCAAAUUUUUACACACCAAAUCAGUGAAUAUAUAAUGUCUUUUUCCUAUGGUGUUUGGUCUCGAUCCAUGUGGGUCUAUCGGAAACAACCUCUUUACCUCAUCUCUGAGAUAGUGGUAUGGAUUGUGUACAUUCUAUCCUAUCCAGACCCAAGUAUGUGCGAAUAUACUGAUAUGUUAUUGUUGCUGUUUUGUUUUUACUCAAUCUGUUAGCACUUAAUUGUAUUCAAUCAAUACGGACCUUUAGAUGGAAAGUAGACAAACAUGUCAUUUUGCUAUUCUUUUGUCGUUCUUAUUUUAUCUUAUUUUGUGAUAAGCAAACAUGGUAUUGAUUUGUGAUAAAGUUUAAAAAAUGCAACAAUAUUUUAGCUUGUGGUAGUGAAAAUGGCUCUAUCCGUACUCCUUUCGUUGAGGUUUGUUCAUCUUUUCAUUUGGAUAAUGAGGUAUAUGCUGAUAUCCCUGUAGUUUUAAAUUUGACUUAAUUAGUCAGUUAAAUCUUUUUCUGUUUUGAAUUGUACAAGUAUCAUAAAUCCGCUAUCAUGUGUUGUAACGCCUUCUAUAACUGCAUUGCUGUUAUUGCCACCAUACUUGGGGUAAGUUUGACUUACUGAUUUCAACCUUUUUGUAGGGUUAGUGACAUAUCCCCCGAAGUAACUGAACAUGAUAAUUUUUAAUCAUCCAACUCGAGCAAGAAUAAAAAGAGUACAGUUCGAAGGGAAGGAAUUGAACUACUACUUAACAAUUUUGUUUUUUCUUCAUUCAUAUUUGUAGCUAUUCCAAACCAUUUCUUCGAUGAUAAUUCUGAAUGCUACUAUCAGUGCUCUCUCCUCCUUGAAAAGAAAUGUUUUGUUUUCCUUUCAUGUAUUCCAUCCUUCGGAGUUUCAAUGGUCUUUGAAAAUCCAUCAAAAGGACUUUCAAAGUUGCAGCAUAUGUUACCUCAAUUGGAAUUCAAUUAGUCGACAUUCAGGUUGGUAACUUAAGAAGUAAAAGAUAGUAAGUUCUUUCCUUUAUUCCCAAAAUCUAUUUCACUAUAUUUUGUGUCUUCUGAAAUAUAUCAUUCAAAUUAUCAACAUCAAAUAAUCUUCACUUUUUACUUAAUUUGCUUUUCUAAAACACAGAAAAAACAAUUUUGGAUUGUCAUAUCAGUACAUGUCUGUAACUAAAUUUUCAAGCAUUUCGUUAUUUUGCUUCAAUUUCUUGCAGAUUUGACGACAAUAUGGAAGAGAAAUAUUUUUUUCAAUAUUUGGACCAAAAGGUAAGUAUUAUUAUUAGUUGGUACUGUCUUCCUUCUCCCUUUCUUCUAAGUUAAUUUUUGCACCAACAUCUACUAUUUAGUUACUACGCCUAAUGAUAAAACUUGUAUCAUUGUGACACUAACAUAAACCUGCGAAUCGGGUAAGGUUUCUGAAGUAACUAUCUCAGAUUACUUAUGUUUCUACUUUCCUACCACCUAAUUAAAUAUUAGUCAAUUUUCUUUUGUGUAUUCUUAAUCUUUUCUUUAGAAUUUGUUUCUCUUUUGCCAUAGUUUAUUCAGUCCUGUUGUAUUCACAAUGUGUUUUUUCCGGUGUUGUGUUUUGUGUUGAUCUAUUGAGACCAACUACAAUUCGUAUAAAGUGAAGUCUUAGAAUAAGGUUUGGUAAAUUCUGUUGAAGAUGAUCAUAAAAAAAUAUAUCCCCUCUAUUUAAUUCGUCUGCGCUAUUUUCACUUGACAUAGAAUUUAAUAAAGUAAAAAAAAACUUUUGAAUUUGCGGCCUUAAUUUAAAGAUAUGUCAAAUGUAUAAAAAUAUCCUUUAAUCUUAUGGUCUUAAAUUUGCCAUGUGGAAAGUUGGAACAAGCGAGUUGCUAAAAAGGGGAAAACAUUCUUUUUGAAACGGCCUAAAAAGGUUAGCAAGACAAUAGUUAUUAGGAGGGAGUAUCAAUUAGGGGGACACAAUAAGUUUGUUAUUAUUUGGUUCUUACAGUUUGUCAGAAUGUGGAUUGGCGGUGAUGCUGAAUCAAAUAAUAUAUUAUACAUUUAAAGAAGUGGACUUUUCUACAUGUGAGGAAGAAAGUAGUUUGAAAUUCUUGAUGCUGAAGAAGAUACAAAAUGAAGAGAUCCAACAUCAAGGGGACUGAUUAUAUGUGCAACUUGAUUUGGAUAAAUACUAACACAUUAAAAUGGCUUGCGGUUCUUCUUUAGUCAAGAAACUAGGAAAAGAACAUGUUUUACCUUAAUUCUGAUAUGAAGCAACACAAUCAAUAAUAUAGUAUCUCUCCUUCUAGAAAAUCAACUUUUUUUACUUAUAAUUCAUUAAAAUUUUGUGCUUUAGAUUUCAUCUUUUAUAUUCUCUGUUUAUUAUUUUUUGUGCUAUGGACAGGAGGAUCUCAACUCAAUUGGAAUAACAAAUUAUCUCAGACAUGAAUUGUGCGGGUUCAAGUAUAUAGGUAUUUAUAAAGUUUGUGAUUUCUCAUGGAGAUAUUUUAGUUGUUUUGUCACUUGAAAUAUGAAUGGGGACGUCUAAAAGAUAUUUCCAUGUCAGUUGAAAUUUUUGUUAAUUUCAAAUGAGUCUUGUUCCUUGAAUAGACAGUCUAUAUAAGAGGGGCCACAAAUUCUAAUGAAAUUCAACUUAACUUCUAUCCUUACUGAUUGAGGUGGUAACUUCUCUCUUUCUGUUAACUUUUCUUUUUACUUUGCUUAUCAAGUUGUGUCUUGAUUAUAGCAAGUCUUUAGUAGCCAUCUUUAUAAGAUUUUCUUUUAUCAAAAAUGAAAAAGAAAUGGAGUAUGCAAAUGAACUUACAUGGAGUCUCUCAUCUUUUUUUUUUUUUUUAAUUAUUAAUUCCUUUGUCUAAUUUAUGGUAUGAAAAGUAAAUGGUGCGUAAUUUGUAGAUAUAUCGUUCCCAUUUAAAAUUCUAUUGAUUUUCUAUAUGUUUUGCUACCGUUUUGUAGCUUGCUCACCUUAUUUAUAAUUUUUUUACUUAGUAGUAAAAGUUUCUUUUAUUUGUAUAGGUUCAUUUUAAUGAGCUAUACAAGAUAUUUGAUUGUGGAAAACCUUCUUUUAAACCCAAUAAAAAGAAAAUCUAGCUGUAUCAUGUUGUUGAUUUGCAAACAUGCGUUCGUCUAAAUAAUAUCUUUAGGAUUAUGUUUUAUCAUGUUAAUAUAUGAGCAGUCUAUGUUGGUUUGUAAGGUGAGAUAACUAAUUUAUGAUGAUGUUUUAUAGAAUUUUUGGUGUGUUAAUACAUGGGUAAUGCAUUAAAUUACUGUGUUGAUGCAAAAAAAAAUUAUAUUUUUGUGACCAGAUAAAUAUAUUUGUUGCUCGAAGGAAAAGAAUUGCUGCAUCGCUUUUUGCACGUUUUAUGAGUUAUAAGAAGGAAAUUUCAUUCAAGGUGUUGAUGUAUCAAGAUACAAGAAGUGGUGUAUGAUUCGGUAGAGAAACUUUUCAUCAUACAUAUUUGGGAGUUUGUAAAUCAGCAUGUGACAUUUGAAAUUUUCAUGAAUUUUCAUAGUGACAUUCUUGGUAUCAAGCAAGUGAAGAGUAUAUAGUUGCAAAUUGUAAGCCUUUGUUAUCCCUUCUCUUAUGUUUGUGUCUAUUUUGAUUCAUUUCAAUCUUCAUGUGAAAAAAUUUAAUAUUCAUUGAUACUUCUUAGUUGUUAGAAUCAUAAUAAUCCGAAGCUAUCUUUCGGAUAUGUUAUUUUAGUACUUUCUAUUUUGUUUUUGAAUUUCUUUUUAAGGUGAAAUAGUAGGAUUGAUCUCUCAUUCUUGCUAAUUUAAAGUUGUAAGGAAGAUAUCAAUAGAAUUGAAGGCAAGAACUGAUUGGGAAAUAAUUUUGAAUUUCAUGCAUUUUGGCCGGUGAAAAUUAAGUCAUUCCUGACCGCGCGAAGUGCGGACAAGUUACCUAGUAUAUAUAAAAAUGAACAUCCUCAAUAUCAAGUAGAAGGCUUAGCUCAGCAACAAGGGGGUUCAAUUUUGGGGUUGCGGGUGCAGGUUUGAUUCCCGCUAGCUACUACAUAUAUUUAUGGAACUUUUUAGCUUAGGUUUUAGAGUUUCUUUGUCUUUAUUAAUUGAAACAAAUAUCUCAUUCUAUUUAAACUCCCAAUCUCAAAUUCGAAAAUAUUUUUUAAAGAACCGUAUCAAAUGUAAAUGUGUAAGUGAUUCUGAAAUUAUUCCUUGAUUAGUGAAUUGGGAUUGAUAAAGGGUUAUCGAGGAACUUGAGGAGCUCGUAAAAUAUUUGUUAUGGUUAUUUUUUCGCUGAAGAUUAUGUGACAAAAGAAAGUUCUGCCACGAGAGAGAUUUCUACAUAAAUUUGGACUUUUGUGAUAUUUCACGAGGCUAAGAAAUAAAAAUCGUAACAUAUUUUGUUAACUUUCUCCGAUUUUGUUGUUCAUGUUGAGGUAGAAUUAAAUUUUAUUUGGCCUCUUAUAUUUGAUCUGUCCUUCUCAAAAGUUGUAAGAUAAAAGAGUACCGCAAGCAACUUCCACUAGUUUCUUAACUGGUCACAAGUAUUAACAAUAGCAGCUAAAUUUUAUGUGCAGCUAGAUCGCUUCCAGCUGUUAUCACCCUAUCACAUUAUGGCAUUCUAUUAUUGCUAGUAUCUGUAAUUUAUAAUUUCAGAGGGAAUUCAGCUUGUUAGAUUACAGAUUCUAUUUAUUUCAUUUGGCAGGAGCAAGGUAUAGCGAUCCUUACUAAAGCAAUUGCAGCUUGCACUGAGGAAAUAGAGCGUCACAAAGGAAAACUUGCUGUCAAGGAGGCUCCAAGAGCGGUGAGCAGACUUUUUUUUUAAAAAAAUUAUGCGUGAUUUUUUAUCUCAUCAUAAUUGUGGAAUGUUCUGUGUAUACUCUACCCUGAGGUAGUGUUCUAAGCCGGGGGUCUAACGGAAACAGCCUCUCUACUUCACCUGUGGUAGUGGUAAGGUCUGCGUACACUCUAGCCUCCCUACACCCCACUAUGUGGGAAUACACUGGAUAUGUUGUUGUUGUGCAUAAUUGUGGAAUGUGCUUCUUCAUACCUUUGAAGAGGCCUUAAUUUGAUAUAUGCCACAGUUCAAUCAGGAUAUGAGAUUGAGAAUUGUGAAAUUUGAGACCAGAUUUACCAUAACACAUUGUUGGUAAAUCUUAAUAAUCAUGUGAUGGUUGGGCAAGAGUUAGGGGUUUCUAUAUCACUGAUGCCAUGCUUAAUUAGUAUUUUUACUUUGAAAUUAUUUUCAAACUAGUAUAGCAUGGUCCUUGAUACAUAUAUAUGGAUGGAAAUAUGUAUGUUGUCCUUGAUACAUAUAUAUGGAUGGAAAUAUGUAUGUUCAAUUGAAUAAAGCGCUUCUUCGAUCCGUCUCUCUUUGCAAGGCACUGCUACUAGCACUCUGGAUGCUUACUAAUUGAGACCGUUGUCGUAUUAGUUGGUCCUAAAAUCUCAUUUGGGUUUUAUUGCUCUAGUAUGGAUGUACGCGGGCAAAAUGUUUCAGUUAAUAAAAUGGUGAUAUAUUUAAAUUUCAAUGGACUUGUUUUAGGUUUUCGAAUAAAACACUAUUUACAUAGUUGGCGAGAACUACGUUAUUCAGCUUAUCACUUAGAACUGAAACUAACAUGAGUUAGACUCUAUACAUGUUCCUAGGAGAGUUUUGGAUAUUGUAUUGACUGGAAUUGAAAACUUCAAUAGGGAACAAGACAAAAAGAAAUGAAUGCAUCUCUGGCUAUUUUUUUUCUGUUCUUUUGUUGCUUUCCGUUUUGGGCUGUUAUUCUUGUUUCUUCUCUGGCGAUUCUGAUGUGAGUUAUCUAUUCAAGUGAGUGAACGGGAAGACAAAUUGCUUGCUGAACAGAUGGCUAAGCUCGGUCGUGAAAAUGAGAUCAGUGGUGAUGAAGAUAGUGAAGAGGAGGAAGAUACCGGGAUGGGAGAAAUUGAUGUGGAGUACUCAGGAACUGGAAUUAGAGAGUAAAAAGUGAGUAAAAAGUGUGGCUUGUAUGAACUUGGAUGACACAUUCUUCACAGAUGCAGAUCCUACAGAACCUACCUCACCUUUUGUUCUUGUCUUUUUGUAGCCAUUUGCUUACUCUGGCAAUUUUUCUUGACGAGCAUUUUAGUUUUUACAUGAAAUCACUCUUGAUAUUUAUGUUGGUGCGGCUAUUUGAUAAUUCCAAUCGCAUUAGUACAUUUUGCAAUGAGAAUGAAC
Molecule: long non-coding RNA, 38976 nt
Filed under: Capsicum annuum
Lineage: Eukaryota; Viridiplantae; Streptophyta; Magnoliopsida; Solanales; Solanaceae
Description: long non-coding RNA (CANN_LNC005635)
Source: RNAcentral